This is a long non-coding RNA of Anneissia japonica, 473 nucleotides long. RefSeq lists it as uncharacterized. Lineage: Eukaryota; Metazoa; Echinodermata; Crinoidea; Comatulida; Comatulidae. The record is from RefSeq and is a predicted model, not a curated record. The transcript has 3 exons.
UCCAAGAAGGUCAUUGUGGAGCCCCUGGUUGAGUUGGCAUGGAAUGACUCAUAAUUGGAUUUUACAGGACAAUAUAUGAAAACUACACCGUUUCUGAUGUGUGUGUCAAAACAUUAUUCAGUAUUGGAAGAGCUUUCCAACAAUAACAAACACGACUACUUUUGUAAAAAUUCUGUAAAGUCUAACCAUUGCAAAAUGCACUUCUGAAGAUAUCAACAAACCAGUGGCUAAUGUUGCUUGCUUUUUUGUGCUCGUUAAUUUUGCUGAAUGCGAAAACUACGAAGAUCUCAGCAAACCAGUGGCCUCAUCCUGCUCAGCACUAUGGCUGUGAUCAACAAUCUUGGAUUGUCUUUCAAGAUAAUUGCACGAUUCUGGUGUUUAAACCAAAUAUAUAUUCAUUGUAAUACAUUUUGAAUAAAUAAAUAUUAAUUGUAUAAGUUUAGUAUUGAAGUUAUUGUAAUAAUAUUGAAUAA